GAAGAACGCUGGCGGCGUGCUUAACACAUGCAAGUCGAACGGAGUGGCGAACGGGUGAGUAACACGUGGGUGAUCUGCCUUGCACUUCGGGAUAAGCUUGGGAAACUGGGUCUAAUACCGGAUAGUGCAAGAUGAGCUCGCGGCCUAUCAGCUUGUUGGUGGGGUAAUGGCCUACCAAGGCGUCGGCGGGUAGCCGGCCUGGGAGGGUGUACGGCCACAUUGGGACUGAGGUACGGACCAGAGUCCUACGGGGGGCAGCGGUGGGGAAUAUGGCGCAAUGGGCGGAAGCCUGAUGCGACGACGCCGGGUGGGGGAUGAAGUCCUUCGGGUUGUAAACUCCUUUCGACAGGGACGCGGUACCUGUAUAAGAAGCACCGGCUAACUACGUGCCAGCAGCCGCGGUAAUAC
This 408-nucleotide ribosomal RNA is filed under the name uncultured bacterium. RNAcentral describes it as "partial 16S ribosomal RNA". It matches the Rfam family "Bacterial small subunit ribosomal RNA", at positions 31 to 526 of the family's 1533-position model. The record is from RNAcentral.